GACUACCAUAAGGAAGAGAACAUGUGAGCACAUUUGUAGAAUAAGUGACAAUUCAUUACUGAAGUUGAUCAAUGAUUAUGCUUGGUAUGGUUGAUGGAACUAAGUUACAGAAAGGGUAAGCCAAGAUGGUUGUGAAUCAACAAUGUUAAGGAAUGAUGGAAAUUGUACAGGUAGCUACAUGAUUGUGAACGGUGGAGGAAACUGAUGAAGGUCAGUUAAUGACAUAAGCACCAUCAGGUUCGCAACAAGCCCACAGAUCAUUAGUAGUUAAGCAGUACUAUAGUGGUCAUGUUAAAAAUUAUUAACACAAUGCACAUUGUGGUCUUUUGCCAAUUAGACUUAGUCUAGUAAUUACUGACCAUAAUCAUAAAUUUAUGCCAAAAUAUCAACACCAGAAC
Non-coding RNA from Paramuricea clavata, 398 nucleotides. Lineage: Eukaryota; Metazoa; Cnidaria; Anthozoa; Malacalcyonacea; Plexauridae. The record is from the annotation of a GenBank genome assembly.